CCUACGGGUGGCUGCAGUGGGGAAUAUUGGACAAUGGGGGCAACCCUGAUCCAGCAAUUCUGUGUGCACGAUGGAGGUCUUCGGAUCGUAAAGUGCUUUCAGCAGGGACGAAGUCCUGACUGUACCUGCUAAAGAAGCGACGGCUAAAUACGUGCCAGCAGCCGCGGUAAUACGUAUGUCGCAAGCGUUAUCCGGAAUUAUUGGGCAUAAAGGGCAUCUAGGCGGCUUUGCAAGUCCGAGGUGAAAACUAUUGGCUCAACCAAUAGCUUGCCUUGGAAACUGCUUUGCUAGAGUAUUGGAGAGGUGGACGGAACUGCACGAGUAGAGGUGAAAUUCGUAGAUAUGUGCAGGAAUGCCGAUGAUGAAGAUAGUUCACUGGACGAUAACUGACGCUCAAGUGCGAAAGCUAGGGGAGCAAACAGGAUUAGAUACCCGGGUAGUC
This 442-nucleotide ribosomal RNA is filed under the name uncultured Leptotrichia sp. Its description in RNAcentral is "bacterial SSU rRNA". It matches the Rfam family "Bacterial small subunit ribosomal RNA", at positions 338 to 795 of the family's 1533-position model. The record is from RNAcentral. Lineage: Bacteria; Fusobacteriati; Fusobacteriota; Fusobacteriia; Fusobacteriales; Leptotrichiaceae.